RNAcentral lists this ribosomal RNA (1596 nucleotides) under Triticum aestivum (bread wheat). Its description in RNAcentral is "partial small subunit ribosomal RNA". Lineage: Eukaryota; Viridiplantae; Streptophyta; Magnoliopsida; Poales; Poaceae. The record is from RNAcentral.
AUGGAGAACACUCAUCACGGGCGACCGGCUGCUAGAGCAAACUCCAAACAGUCCGUCAAGGGCCCCGGCAAGUCCUCCUCCCUCGACAUGGUGGAGGCCAAUGAAGAUGAUAGGCUCAGCAAGUUGCCUGAUGACAUUUUGCUCAACAUUGUUGAGCGACUUGAUAUAGCUGACGCUGCACGAACAACCAUCCUCUCCAGACGUUGGAAGCAGAUCCCUGCUGUACUCUCAAAAAUUGUUAUAAUGGCUGGUUCUUUUGAGCCCAAGCACAAAGAAUGGAGCAAGUUAACCUCAGAUGAUAUAGUUCGGGCUAACACCACCGUGCUGGAAGCAACCAGGAGCAUACUGGAAAGGAGGGCUGGAAGUCUGUACCCCAUCCACAUGUUGCGCAUUCAAUUCUACCUGGGAGAUGAGUCCAUUUUAAUUGGCCAGACUGUUGCCAACACCAUGACAACACAAAAGGUUGCUUCAGCCGAGUUUACAAUCUUGACGAAGGUGCGUAAAAAGUGUGCCAACAAUGACCUGCUCACAUAUGGGAAGCAGUUCAUGUCAUUCUUUGAUGCGUGUCCAAACGCAUUUGGUGGUCUUGUGCGCCUCACGCUAGAGAAUUUGAGGUUAGGAGAAUCUGACUUCCCCAAAAUUUUCAGUAUGUGCAAGCAACUGGAGUUCCUCUCCCUCUACGAAUGUGACAUGGGUAUUCAGUCUUUUCUGGAAGUGGAACACCCGCAACUCGGUGAACUAGUUAUUGUCUGUGGCCGUCUUGAGAGGGUUGAUCUCAAGUGGGCACCAAAGCUCACAAAACUGAAAUUUAAUAUAUUUAGAUGUAAAGAUGACCCCUUCUGUCUCGGCUAUGUCCCACUGCUCCACACUGUGUCCAUCAUUAAUGUUGCUUUCACUUGGCACAAGAUGCUCAAGUUAAGUGAGUUGCUUGAUAAAGCUGCCAUAAGCAAUCUGACUUUGGACUUCAAAAGCGAAAAGAUUUGGGUCAAACCGGAAGGUCGAAGACAAUUGCUACCGGUGUUCCACAAACUCAGGAUUGUGAACUGGAUUAACAUUGCUGAAGAGUGUGACCUGACUUGGACCAUGUUCUUACUCCAUGGUGCACCCAACCUUAAGGAACUACACAUCUUGGUGAACUCUUGUACCGAUUCUCCAAUUCUCAUUUUCGAUGUUCAAACUUUGUGUGACCAGUUAGGAAUUUUUUUACCUGACCGAAUGCAGGUGCGGAAUCAUCUAUGUGAAAUGGUAACAGGGAAGCGGAGGGAGUUGCCUGUCGUUUGCAAGGAGAAGGACAAGGGACUAGAGUGGGAACCAUCUACAUCUGAUUUCAAGCACCACAACCUGGCUGCGCUCAGUAUCUAUGGGAGGUUUCAUGCAGUAGACAAACUGGUGCGCUUUGCGAGAAAUGUCGUGGAAGCAGCGGUGAAUCUGGAGGACAUAAGACUAUAUAAGAGUCCAGUGUGUGUGAGGUGCAAGCACAUGCUUCAGGAGUGGACAUUUGAGGAGACGUCUUGGCUUAGCUAUGAAUUCAGCAAGGAGAUUCCCUCGGUCGUCCGUAUUCACUUCCCCAGUUUAGGGCAAGUCUUCUCAAAAUAA